CAGCUUAAAAUGGGAGGUAAAUUUCUCCUAAGCUAAAUAUUGGCGAGAGACCGAUAGCGAACAAGUACCGUGAGGGAAAAGAAUGAAAAACACUUUGAAAAGAGAGUUAAAUAGUACGUGAAAUUGUUGAAAGGGAAACGAUUGAAGCCGUCGUACCGACGAAGAAUCAACUUUUGGAGUGCGAAUCGAGGUAUUCGAGGAGUUUAAAGCCCUUGUGUGUUUCGUAUUCGUGCUUCUUGGGUGCUUUUCUUCGUAUGGUAGGUUAACUCAAUUUUGGACGUUACAAAAUGAUCGGGGGAAUGUAGCUUCGAUUUUUCGAAGUGUUAAGCCCUUGGUAGAUGUGACGACCGGGAUUGAGGAUUGCAACGAAUGCUUUCGGGCUAUCGUCUGACCUCUGGUGGUUGCUUUGGGGUCGAAAGCGUGCUUACGGUUAUCAGAGUCGAUGUCAAUAGGUUAGAACGGGUUAAAUUCGUUAAGGAUGUUGACGUAAUGGCUUUAAACGA
RNAcentral lists this ribosomal RNA (503 nucleotides) under uncultured Glomeromycotina. RNAcentral's name for it is "eukaryotic LSU rRNA". It matches the Rfam family "Eukaryotic large subunit ribosomal RNA", at positions 283 to 647 of the family's 3401-position model. The record is from RNAcentral. Lineage: Eukaryota; Fungi; Glomeromycota.